GCCUCCCUGUUGUUCUCGUGAUUGGACUUCAAUAAUUUUGAGCCAAUAUUUUUUGAACGGGGUUGAGGAAUCGACUGUGGUGAGCAUGCCUUCUUUAGGAAGGAAGCCUGAAGCAGUUUACCGAUCCCCCACCUAUAGUUAUAGGUUCAAAAAAAAGGUCUGAUUACGGUGUGACGGGGGGGUA
RNAcentral lists this non-coding RNA (184 nucleotides) under Nitrospinae bacterium CG11_big_fil_rev_8_21_14_0_20_45_15. RNAcentral describes it as "6S RNA". It matches the Rfam family "6S / SsrS RNA". Rfam says of the family: E. coli 6S RNA was the first non coding RNA to be sequenced, but its function was unknown until recently. It consists of 184 nucleotides that fold into an extended hairpin structure with a large single-stranded internal bulge. The record is from RNAcentral. Lineage: Bacteria; Pseudomonadati; Nitrospinota.